CACGCUAUGGGAGCGGCCGAUGUCCGAUUAGCUAGUUGGUGGGGUAAAGGCCCACCAAGGCGACGAUCGGUAGCUGGUCUGAGAGGAUGAUCAGCCACACUGGGACUGAGACACGGCCCAGACUCCUACGGGAGGCAGCAGUGGGGAAUUUUGGACAAUGGGGGCAACCCUGAUCCAGCCAUGCCGCGUGCGGGAAGAAGGCCUUCGGGUUGUAAACCGCUUUUGUCUGGGAAGAAAAGGCGUCUCCUAAUACGGGGCGUUCUUGACGGUACCGGAAGAAUAAGCACCGGCUAACUACGUGCCAGCAGCCGCGGUAAUACGUAGGGUGCGAGCGUUAAUCGGAAUUACUGGGCGUAAAGCGUGCGCAGGCGGUGAGUUAAGUCUGAUGUGAAAGCCCCGGGCUCAACCUGGGAACGGCAUUGGAAACUGGCUCGCUGGAGUGUGGCAGAGGGGGGUGGAAUUCCGCGUGUAGCAGUGAAAUGCGUAGAGAUGCGGAGGAACACCGAUGGCGAAGGCAGCCCCCUGGGCCAACACUGACGCUCAGGCACGAAAGCGUGGGGAGCAAACAGGAUUAGAU
RNAcentral lists this ribosomal RNA (577 nucleotides) under uncultured bacterium. RNAcentral's name for it is "bacterial SSU rRNA". It matches the Rfam family "Bacterial small subunit ribosomal RNA", at positions 214 to 783 of the family's 1533-position model. The record is from RNAcentral.